RNAcentral lists this ribosomal RNA (685 nucleotides) under uncultured Actinomycetales bacterium. RNAcentral describes it as "bacterial SSU rRNA". It matches the Rfam family "Bacterial small subunit ribosomal RNA", at positions 62 to 760 of the family's 1533-position model. The record is from RNAcentral. Lineage: Bacteria; Bacillati; Actinomycetota; Actinomycetes; Actinomycetales.
UCGAACGGAAAGGCCCUGCUUGCAGGGUACUCGAGUGGCGAACGGGUGAGUAACACGUGGGUGAUCUGCCCUGCACUUCGGGAUAAGCUUGGGAAACUGGGUCUAAUACCGGAUAGGAACCAUCUUUAGUGUGGUGGUUGGAAAGUUUUUUCGGUGUAGGAUGAGCUCGCGGCCUAUCAGCUUGUUGGUGGGGUAAUGGCCUACCAAGGCGGCGACGGGUAGCCGGCCUGAGAGGGUGUACGGCCACAUUGGGACUGAGAUACGGCCCAGACUCCUACGGGAGGCAGCAGUGGGGAAUAUUGCACAAUGGGCGCAAGCCUGAUGCAGCGACGCCGCGUGGGGGAUGAAGGCCUUCGGGUUGUAAACUCCUUUCGCUAGGGACGAAGCUUUUCGUGACGGUACCUAGAUAAGAAGCACCGGCUAACUACGUGCCAGCAGCCGCGGUAAUACGUAGGGUGCGAGCGUUGUCCGGAAUUACUGGGCGUAAAGGGCUCGUAGGUGGUUUGUCGCGUCGUCUGUGAAAUUCUGGGGCUUAACUCCGGGCGUGCAGGCGAUACGGGCAUAACUUGAGUGCUGUAGGGGUAACUGGAAUUCCUGGUGUAGCGGUGAAAUGCGCAGAUAUCAGGAGGAACACCGAUGGCGAAGGCAGGUUACUGGGCAGUUACUGACGCUGAGGAGCGAAAGC